UACGGAGGGAGCUAGCGUUGUUCGGAAUUACUGGGCGUAAAGCGCACGUAGGCGGUUACUCAAGUCAGAGGUGAAAGCCCGGGGCUCAACCCCGGAACUGCCUUUGAAACUAGGUAACUAGAAUCCUGGAGAGGUGAGUGGAAUUCCGAGUGUAGAGGUGAAAUUCGUAGAUAUUCGGAAGAACACCAGUGGCGAAGGCGGCUCACUGGACAGGUAUUGACGCUGAGGUGCGAAAGCGUGGGGAGCAAACAGG
This 253-nucleotide ribosomal RNA is filed under the name uncultured bacterium. RNAcentral describes it as "partial 16S ribosomal RNA". It matches the Rfam family "Bacterial small subunit ribosomal RNA", at positions 524 to 776 of the family's 1533-position model. The record is from RNAcentral.